CCUACGGGGGGCAGCAGUGAGGAAUAUUGGACAAUGGUCGGAAGACUGAUCCAGCCAUGCCGCGUGCAGGAAGACGGCCUUAUGGGUUGUAAACUGCUUUUGCAGGGGAAGAAUAAGGAGUACGUGUACUUUGAUGACGGUACUCUGCGAAUAAGCAUCGGCUAACUCCGUGCCAGCAGCCGCGGUAAUACGGAGGAUGCGAGCGUUAUCCGGAAUCAUUGGGUUUAAAGGGUCCGUAGGCGGGCUAAUAAGUCAGAGGUGAAAGCGCUCAGCUCAACUGAGCAACUGCCUUUGAAACUGUUAGUCUUGAAUGGUUGUGAAGUAGUUGGAAUGUGUAGUGUAGCGGUGAAAUGCUUAGAUAUUACACAGAACACCGAUAGCGAAGGCAUAUUACUAACAAUUAAUUGACGCUGAUGGACGAAAGCGUGGGGAGCGAACAGGAUUAGAUACCCGGGUAGUC
Molecule: ribosomal RNA, 460 nt
Filed under: uncultured Capnocytophaga sp.
Lineage: Bacteria; Pseudomonadati; Bacteroidota; Flavobacteriia; Flavobacteriales; Flavobacteriaceae
Description: bacterial SSU rRNA
Rfam family: Bacterial small subunit ribosomal RNA
Source: RNAcentral